Molecule: ribosomal RNA, 1486 nt
Filed under: Escherichia coli
Lineage: Bacteria; Pseudomonadati; Pseudomonadota; Gammaproteobacteria; Enterobacterales; Enterobacteriaceae
Description: partial 23S ribosomal RNA
Rfam family: Bacterial large subunit ribosomal RNA
Source: RNAcentral
CGGGACACGUGGUAUCCUGUCUGAAUAUGGGGGGACCAUCCUCCAAGGCUAAAUACUCCUGACUGACCGAUAGUGAACCAGUACCGUGAGGGAAAGGCGAAAAGAACCCCGGCGAGGGGAGUGAAAAAGAACCUGAAACCGUGUACGUACAAGCAGUGGGAGCACGCUUAGGCGUGUGACUGCGUACCUUUUGUAUAAUGGGUCAGCGACUUAUAUUCUGUAGCAAGGUUAACCGAAUAGGGGAGCCGAAGGGAAACCGAGUCUUAACUGGGCGUUAAGUUGCAGGGUAUAGACCCGAAACCCGGUGAUCUAGCCAUGGGCAGGUUGAAGGUUGGGUAACACUAACUGGAGGACCGAACCGACUAAUGUUGAAAAAUUAGCGGAUGACUUGUGGCUGGGGGUGAAAGGCCAAUCAAACCGGGAGAUAGCUGGUUCUCCCCGAAAGCUAUUUAGGUAGCGCCUCGUGAAUUCAUCUCCGGGGGUAGAGCACUGUUUCGGCAAGGGGGUCAUCCCGACUUACCAACCCGAUGCAAACUGCGAAUACCGGAGAAUGUUAUCACGGGAGACACACGGCGGGUGCUAACGUCCGUCGUGAAGAGGGAAACAACCCAGACCGCCAGCUAAGGUCCCAAAGUCAUGGUUAAGUGGGAAACGAUGUGGGAAGGCCCAGACAGCCAGGAUGUUGGCUUAGAAGCAGCCAUCAUUUAAAGAAAGCGUAAUAGCUCACUGGUCGAGUCGGCCUGCGCGGAAGAUGUAACGGGGCUAAACCAUGCACCGAAGCUGCGGCAGCGACGCUGAUGCGUUGUUGGGUAGGGGAGCGUUCUGUAAGCCUGUGAAGGUGUGCUGUGAGGCAUGCUGGAGGUAUCAGAAGUGCGAAUGCUGACAUAAGUAACGAUAAAGCGGGUGAAAAGCCCGCUCGCCGGAAGACCAAGGGUUCCUGUCCAACGUUAAUCGGGGCAGGGUGAGUCGACCCCUAAGGCGAGGCCGAAAGGCGUAGUCGAUGGGAAACAGGUUAAUAUUCCUGUACUUGGUGUUACUGCGAAGGGGGGACGGAGAAGGCUAUGUUGGCCGGGCGACGGUUGUCCCGGUUUAAGCGUGUAGGCUGGUUUUCCAGGCAAAUCCGGAAAAUCAAGGCUGAGGCGUGAUGACGAGGCACUACGGUGCUGAAGCAACAAAUGCCCUGCUUCCAGGAAAAGCCUCUAAGCAUCAGGUAACAUCAAAUCGUACCCCAAACCGACACAGGUGGUCAGGUAGAGAAUACCAAGGCGCUUGAGAGAACUCGGGUGAAGGAACUAGGCAAAAUGGUGCCGUAACUUCGGGAGAAGGCACGCUGAUAUGUAGGUGAAGCGACUUGCUCGUGGAGCUGAAAUCAGUCGAAGAUACCAGCUGGCUGCAACUGUUUAUUAAAAACACAGCACUGUGCAAACACGAAAGUGGACGUAUACGGUGUGACGCCUGCCCGGUGCCGGAAGGUUAAUUGAUGGGG